AGAGACAGUGGCACAGUGGCUUUGAAGCAGGGCCUAGCUGCUACAAAGAAGACAUGUGUUAGACAAUACUCAUGUGUAUGGGCAAAAAACUCGAGGACUGUAUUUAUGACUAAUUGUAUAACAGGUUAUUUUAGUUUCUGUUCUGUGCAAAGUGUAAAGCAUUCCAACAAAGGGUUUUAAUGUAGAUUUUUUUUUUUGCACCCAUGCUGUUGAUUGCUAAAUGUAAUAGUCUGAUCAUGAUGCUGAAUAAAUGUGUCUUUUUU
This is a long non-coding RNA of Prionailurus viverrinus (fishing cat), 263 nucleotides long. RefSeq lists it as uncharacterized. The transcript is spliced from 2 exons. The record is from RefSeq and is a predicted model, not a curated record. NCBI's taxonomy places the organism in Eukaryota, Metazoa, Chordata, Mammalia, Carnivora, Felidae.